AGGGAUAGCUGGUGUGCGUGCAGCGAAAGGCGCUAACUGCCCUGGACGUGGAGACCCGCGGACUGGACGUGGAGACCCGCGGACUGGACGUGAGAGGCGGGCAGGGGCAGUUGGGGCAGCUGCCCCUACAACACUGAAGAAUUGGAACAGGAAAGAGUGUGGGGGUAGGGGACGGGGACUCUUUGUCUGCAGUUGGAAUGCGCGGAGGGGCAUGGUGGAAUGUGUCGCGUCCCGGGACUGGACGACAGGAGGCAUGUUCUGCGCUAGCACCGUGACUUUGUUCCCAGCGUGGGGACUGUGGGAGAGAUGGAGAGAGACUGGUACAGAAAUGGUGAGACAAGGAGAGAGCCAUAAAGAGGAAGACAGAGAGAAAGAAGACAAAUGCAUAAAGAGGUUCAGAGACGUGUGACUGGAGAUCGAAGGCCUGGUUUUAGGGCUAGCGAACACCUUCUCACUUUGGUUUUGGUCCACAGAAGACUGGUGAUACAGACUCCUUAUCAGUGUAAUUGUGGGGACUGGUCACCAGCUCUUGCUUGAGCUUUUCCAGAAGAAACUUCACUACUGAAAUAUUCCAAGAGGACUUGAUGCUGCCACAAAGAGAAGAGAAUGAAUAAAGUUGUCGGCUUUGUAAGAGCCAGACAAACAGAGAUACCCAGCACUAAUCAACUUUGUGGCAAAUCCCUCCACAGCCUAAGAAGGAUCCCUAGCAGCAAUCCUCAAGAGCCUCAGCAGAUUGGAGAGAUGCCUCUUUGAUUCCGUCCCAGAGCUAAAGAUUGGAACAACUGUCCCUCCCCCUCUAAACCCACAGUCUGCCACAAGAACAUUUUAAACCUUCCUCCAUGAUGGGCAGCAAAACUCCCUGACUAGUCCUCCAGAUCCUUCUCAAGCACAGAAUAGAGAGAGCAUGAUGGUGAGUGAGCAUACUGUCCUUCCUGCAGGUCUUCAGUUCCACCACACUCUCCUAAGGGAAGGAAGAAGCCAGGCCUCAAUGCUGUACCUCUCUCUGGAGGCAGCAGGCACAAGUGGAAUGGAAGUGAUGG
This 1040-nucleotide non-coding RNA is filed under the name Pan troglodytes (chimpanzee). Lineage: Eukaryota; Metazoa; Chordata; Mammalia; Primates; Hominidae. The record is from RNAcentral.